UUUAAGCGUAGCCAUGAAUUUCUGUGUCCAACUUUGACCGUCCGUCUUAUUUGAAUUUUUAUGAUUAGUACUUAAUUUUAUUGUUAUUAGAUAAUAAAUAUGAAUAGUAUUUUAUGCGUGACUUAUAUUUUUUUUACUUUUUUAAAUAAGACAGACGAUUAAAUUUGGACACGAAAACUUAUGGUUAUAUUUAAA
Molecule: non-coding RNA, 195 nt
Organism: Oryza glumipatula
Lineage: Eukaryota; Viridiplantae; Streptophyta; Magnoliopsida; Poales; Poaceae
Source: Rfam